UACGCGAGUCAUUGGGAAUUAUUAAACCCAUUGGCGAAAUGAAUGUGAAGACCGCUUCGCGCGGCUUUUAGGGAGGAUGGGAAUCCGUACGGAGACCCCGCACUCCCGGGGCGUCUCGUUCUCAUUGCGAGUUGAGGCGCACCUAGAGCGUACACGCUGGUACCCGAAAGAUGGUGACCUAUGCCUGGUCAGGACGAAGUCAGGGGAAACCCUGAUGGAGGUCCGUAGCGAUUCUGACGUGCAAAUCGAUCGUCGGAGCUGGGUAUAGGGGCGAAAGACUCAUCGAACCAUCUAGUAGCUGGUUCCCUCCGAAGUUUCCCUCAGGAUAGCUGGCGCUCGUCAGGUACGAGUCUCAUCCGGUAAAGCGAAUGAUUAGAGGCAUUGGGGUCGAAACGGCCUCAACCUAUUCUCAAACUUUAAAUGGGUGAGAUCUCCGGCUUGCUUAAAUGUGAAGCCGCGAGAUUCGGAUCAGAGUGCCAAGUGGGCCACUUUUGGUAAGCAGAACUGGCGCUGUGGGAUGAACCAAACGCCGAGUUAAAGCGCCGAAAUCGACGCUUAUGGGAUACCAUGAAAGGCGUUG
RNAcentral lists this ribosomal RNA (580 nucleotides) under Tachyporus hypnorum. RNAcentral describes it as "eukaryotic LSU rRNA". It matches the Rfam family "Eukaryotic large subunit ribosomal RNA", at positions 683 to 1226 of the family's 3401-position model. Lineage: Eukaryota; Metazoa; Arthropoda; Insecta; Coleoptera; Staphylinidae. The record is from RNAcentral.